GUGGGGAAUAUUGGACAAUGGGCGAAAGCCUGAUCCAGCCAUGCCGCGUGUGUGAAGAAGGUCUUCGGAUUGUAAAGCACUUUAAGUUGGGAGGAAGGGCAGUAAGUUAAUACCUUGCUGUUUUGACGUUACCGACAGAAUAAGCACCGGCUAACUUCGUGCCAGCAGCCGCGGUAAUACGAAGGGUGCAAGCGUUAAUCGGAAUUACUGGGCGUAAAGCGCGCGUAGGUGGUUUUGUAAGUUGGAGGUGAAAUCCCCGGGCUCAACCUGGGAACUGCCUCCAAAACUGCAUGACUAGAGUACGGUAGAGGGUAGUGGAAUUUCCUGUGUAGCGGUGAAAUGCGUAGAUAUAGGAAGGAACACCAGUGGCGAAGGCGACUACCUGGACUGAUACUGACACUGAGGUGCGAAAGCGUGGGGAGCAAACAGGAUUAGAAACCCCUGGUAGUCC
Molecule: ribosomal RNA, 451 nt
Filed under: uncultured bacterium
Lineage: Bacteria
Description: bacterial SSU rRNA
Rfam family: Bacterial small subunit ribosomal RNA
Source: RNAcentral